Molecule: non-coding RNA, 91 nt
Organism: Acanthosepion pharaonis
Lineage: Eukaryota; Metazoa; Mollusca; Cephalopoda; Sepiida; Sepiidae
Source: the annotation of a GenBank genome assembly
CUUGGUCCCGUAACGAUCACCAAAGUUAAGCAACGUUGAGACUGGUCAGUACCUAGAAGAGUGACCGCUUGGGAAUACCAGGUGCUGUAAG